GACGAACGCUGGCGGCGUGCUUAACACAUGCAAGUCGAACGGAAAGGCCCUGCUUUUGUGGGGUGCUCGAGUGGCGAACGGGUGAGUAACACGUGAGUAACCUGCCCUUGACUUUGGGAUAACUUCAGGAAACUGGGGCUAAUCCCGGAUAGGAGCUCCUGCUGCAUGGUGGGGGUUGGAAAGUUUCGGCGGUUGGGGAUGGACUCGCGGCUUAUCAGCUUGUUGGUGGGGUAGUGGCUUACCAAGGCUUUGACGGGUAGCCGGCCUGAGAGGGUGACCGGACACAUUGGGACGGGGAUAAGGCCCAGACUCCUACGGGAGGCAGCAGUGGGGAAGAUUGCACAAUGGGCGGAAGCCUGAUGCAGCAACGCCGCGUGCGGGAUGACGGCCUUCGGGUUGUAAACCGCUUUCGCCUGUGACGAAGCGUGAGUGACGGUAAUGGGUAAAGAAGCACCGGCUAACUACGUG
This 468-nucleotide ribosomal RNA is filed under the name uncultured bacterium. Its description in RNAcentral is "partial 16S ribosomal RNA". It matches the Rfam family "Bacterial small subunit ribosomal RNA", at positions 28 to 507 of the family's 1533-position model. The record is from RNAcentral.